This 413-nucleotide long non-coding RNA is filed under the name Ananas comosus (pineapple). RNAcentral's name for it is "long non-coding RNA (ACOM_LNC010966)". The record is from RNAcentral. Lineage: Eukaryota; Viridiplantae; Streptophyta; Magnoliopsida; Poales; Bromeliaceae.
AAUUUUAUCAUGAUUCAAAAUAUUUUGAAGCGAAUAUAAACAAAUACUUUAUAAAAAUCAUUAGGUGCUAGAAAUUUCUGAAGAGCCGAUUUUUUUAAAAUUUUGAAUGUAUCGUUCAUCUUUACAGAUUUAGUUAGUAUAUUUUAUACAAUUAUUAUAAUUAUAAAUUUAUUAAAAUAAAUAACAAUUUAAAUUUUAUAAUAAAUUAAAACACUAUGGACUGGCUCAAAUUAAAUAAAUUGAAAGAUUAAUAGUAAAAUUAAUAUUUUAAAAAAUUAAAUAGUUCAUUCGAAAUAGUACAAAGUUUAGAGAGAUUCCAUAUGUUUUUACCUAAAAUCUAUUUAUAAAAAUAAUUUUUUUUUUUUACUUUUAGAUAACCCAACAAUUUUAAAAAUUUUCUCAACAUUUACAUU